AAAAAAUGGUUUUUCUGGAAAACAAAAUCCUUGAGUUAAGAGAGCUAUCAUAAUAUUUAACAUUUAAGCAGAACUCUCUUUCUCACCAAACUCUCUCAUUCCCAACUUUUUCCCUUUUUCUUUUCAUUGAGCUCAUCUUCAUGCUUUUUCUUAUUUUUUUCUUUUUCACAUGCAUUUUUCUUUUUCAACAAUUGAGCUCAAUGCUUCUUAAAAGCUUUCCAAUUUCCCCCAUGCAACCCCAAACUUGAACCUUUUCAUCAGAUACAAUUAAGCUCAUCCCAACUCAAGGUAAAGAAUUUCAAGACAAGGGUUCAUAUCCUGUUUAAGGCUAAGGUUCAAAAAGGGUAUAAUAUUUUAAGCUCUGUGGGUGAAAAUUUGGCUAGAGAAGGGCAUUCAAAACAAAUGGCCUUGAUCAUAUGACAUUCACAUGCAAUUUGAUCAAUCAUCAAGAUUAAGGCACUAUCAUUCAUGCUUUCCUGUGAACAAUUCAUAUAAUCAUAAAAACUCUGGAGCUCAAUACCUCACACAACAUGCUUUCUCACACAACAUUCAUUCAUCCAUCCUGCUUAGCAUCAGAACCACAAUCAUAAGUUAUCACACAUCUGUUUCACUGGCUAUCAACAUGCAACACUACUCAAUUAUGAAUCACAUCAAAUCAUCAUCAAAUAAGUUCAUCAUGCAAAUUAGUCAG
This 691-nucleotide long non-coding RNA is filed under the name Vigna radiata. RNAcentral describes it as "long non-coding RNA (VRAD_LNC016909)". The record is from RNAcentral. Lineage: Eukaryota; Viridiplantae; Streptophyta; Magnoliopsida; Fabales; Fabaceae.